GAUGAACGCUGGCGGCGUGCCUAACACAUGCAAGUCGAACGAACAAGUUUCGAGGAAGUUUUCGGAUGGAAUUGAAAUAAGUUAGUGGCGGACGGGUGAGUAACGCAUGAACAAUCUGCCUUAGAGAGGGGGAUAACAGAUAGAAAUAUUUGCUAAUACCGCAUAAGACCACAACCCGGCAUCGGGAAGGGGUAAAAGGAGAAAUCCACUUUAAGAUGAGUUUAUGUAUCAUUAGUUAGUUGGCGGGGUAACGGCCCACCAAGACGACGAUGGUUAGCCGACCUGAGAGGGUGAUCGGCCACACUGGAACUGAGAGACGGUCCAGACUCCUACGGGAGGCAGCAGUGAGGAAUAUUGGGCAAUGGAGGAAACUCUGACCCAGCAACGCCGCGUGAAGGAAGAAGGUUUUCGGAUUGUAAACUUCUGUUAUAGGGGAAAAAUAAAGUGAUGGUACCCUAUGAGAAAGCUACGGCAAACUAUGUGCCAGCAGCCGCGGUAAUACAUAGGUAGCAAGCGUUAUCCGGAAUAACUGGGCGUAAAGGGAGCGUAGGUGGCGAUGUAAGUCUCAUGUGAAAGCCCGUGGCUUAACCACGGAACUGCAUGAGAUACUGUGUUGCUAGAGUGCGGGAAAGGCAAAUGGAAUUCCUAGUGUAGCGGUAGAAUGCGUAGAGAUUAGGAGGAACACCGGAGGCGAAGGCGAUUUGCUGGAACGCAACUGACACUGAGGCUCGAAAGCGUGGGGAGCAAACAGGAUUAGAUACCCUGGUAGUCCACGCCCUAAACGAUGGAUACUAGAUGUGGGAAGAAUCGACUCUUUCCGUAUUGAAGCAAACGCGAUAAGUAUCCCGCCUGAGUAGUACGGCCGCAAGGUUGAAACUUAAAGGAAUUGACGGGGACCCGCACAAGCAGCGGAGCAUGUCGUUUAAUUCGACGCAACACGAAGAACCUUACCAAGGCUUGACAUUUUGAGCAUAUCAUGGAAACAUGAGAAAUCGUAUGUAGCAAUACAUAUGACUCAUAAACAGAUGGUGCAUGGUUGUCGUCAGCUCGUGUCGUGAGAUGUUGGGUUAAGUCCCGCAACGAGCGCAACCCUUGUCAUUAGUUACUAAUAUUAAGUUAAGGACUCUAAUGAGACUGCCGUAGAUAAUACGGAGGAAGGUGGGGAUGACGUCAAAUCAUCAUGCCUCUUACGCCUUGGGCAACAAACGUGCUACAAUGGUAACUACAAAGAGAAGCGAAAUAGUAAUAUCAAGCAAACCUCAAAAAAGUUAUCUCAGUUCAGAUUGUGGGCUGCAACCCGCCCACAUGAAGAUGGAGUUGCUAGUAAUCCCGAAUCAGCAUGUCGGGGUGAAUGCGUUCCCGGGUCU
This 1367-nucleotide ribosomal RNA is filed under the name uncultured bacterium. Its description in RNAcentral is "bacterial SSU rRNA". It matches the Rfam family "Bacterial small subunit ribosomal RNA", at positions 28 to 1381 of the family's 1533-position model. The record is from RNAcentral.